GUUUCCAUCUUGCUAUUAUUCCACGGGGCCCAGUACAUAAUCGCCACUCAGUGUUUAUGCAGAUCACGCUUGAACACUGCCAGUAACAGGGUCCUCACUAUCCAUGACAACUCACUUCCACAUAGCCCUGCUUGUUAAGAGUUCAUUCAUUCAUUCCGCAGAUGUUUUUGGAGUGCCUACUGAGUGCCACUCACUGCUCCAGGGGUUGGGAUACUAAGGUGUGCCUAACAGACCAAAUCUCUGCCUCCAUUAAGUUUACAUUCUGUGGAAAAUAAUAGCUACCACAUUCUAGAGUCUGUACUAGUAUUUUAUAUGCAUCAUUAUCUUCACUCCACCUAUACAGCUUUGCCAGGCAGGCAUUAUUAGCUCCACUUUACAGAGAAAGAAACUGAGGCACUAAGAGCUCCAGGAUUGUCCACCUCACACUGUUAGUCUGUUAGUGAUGAGGCUUGGACUUCUGCGUAGAUCCGUGCUCCUUUCCACAGUAACACCUUAUGUGACAAAAUUAGACAGAUCCUAGGAUGGCUAUGAUAAUUUUUUAAAAGGAAAAACAACUGUUGGUAAGGAAAUGGAGAAACUGAGAUCCUCACACACUGUUAGGGAUAUUAUCCAGCCUUAAAAAGGAAUGAAAUUCUGAUAUAUUUGACAACAUAGAUGAAGCCUGAAAACAUUUCUAAGUAAAAGAAACCAGACACAAAGGGACAAAUAUUUUAUGAUUCUAUUUAUGUAAGAUACCUAGAAAAGGCAAAUUCAUGGAGACAGAAAGCAGAAUAGAGGAUACUAGGAGCUGGGGUCAGGGAGUAUGAGGAGUUAUUGCUUGGUAGGUACAGAGUUUCUGUUUGGUGUGAUGAAAAAGUUUUGGAAAUAGAUAGUGGUGAUGGUUGUACAAUAUUGUGAGUAUAGAUCUUUCACCAUGAUCAGAUGGGAUUCAUCCCAGGGAUGCAAGGAUGGUUCAACAUGCACAAAUCAAUAUGCAUGACACAUCAUAGUAACAGAACCAAGAGCAAAAACCAUAUAUGAUCAUUUCAAUAGACCCUGAAAAAGCUUUCUAAAAAAAUUCAACAUCGUGUUAUAAAAGCCCUAAAAUAUUGGGUAUAGAGGCAACAUACCUUAAAAUAAUAAACGCUAUCUAUGACAAACUCACAGCUAACAUUGUAAUAAAUGGAGAAAAAUUGAAAGCCUUUCCUCUAAGAUCUGGAACAAGACAAGGAUGCCCACUUUUACCACUUUUAUUCCAUGUAGUAUUGGGAGUUCUGGCCAGAGCAAUUAGGCAAGAGAAGGAAAUGAAGGGCAUCCAAACUGGAAAUGAAGAAGUCAGAUUAGCCUUGUUUGCAGAUGGCAUGGUCUUCUACUUAGAAAAAUCUAAAGACUCCAUGGGGCGUGGUGGCUUACACUUGUAAUCCUAACACUUUGGGAAGCUGAGGUGGUUGGAUUGCUUGAGGCCAGGAGUUCGACACCAGCCUGGGCAAUACAGUGAGAUCCUGUCUCUCUCUUAAAAAAAAAAAAAAGGCCGGGCACAGUGGCUUAUACCUGUAAUCCCAGCACUUUGGGAGGCCGAGGUGGGCAGAUCAUCUGAGGUCAGGAGUUUGAGACCAGCCUGGCCAACACGGUGAAAUGCUGUCUCUACUAAAAAUACAAAAAAAAAAAAAAUUAGCCAGGUGUGGUGGCAGGUGCCUGUAAUCCCAGCUAACUUGGGAGGCUGAGGCAGGAGAAUCACUUGAACUCGGGAGGCGGAGGUUGCAGUGAGCUGAGAUCGUGCCAUUGCACUCCAGCCUGGGCGAUAAAAGCAAGACUCCUCCUCCUCCUCAAAAAAAAAAAAAAAAAAAAAAGGGACUCCAACAAAAAACCGUUAGAGUUGAUGAAUGAAUUCAGUAAAGUUGCAGGAUAAUUCAACAUACAAAACCCAGUAGCAUUUGUAUACGCUAACAGCAAACAAUCUGAAAAAGAAGUUGAGUGCAAUCCCAUUUCCAACAGCUACAAAGAAUGUAAAAUACCUAAGAAUCGAUGUAACCAAAGUGAAAGAUCUAUACAAGAAAAACUAUAAAACUGAUGAAAUAAAUUGAAGAGGAUGCAAAAAAAUGGAGAGAUAUCCCAUGCUAUGUAUUGGAAAAAUUAAUAUUGUUAAAAUAACAAUAUUACCCAAAGCAAUUUAUAGAUUUGGUGCAAUCUCUGUCAAAAUAGCAAAGGCAUUCUUCAUAGAUAUAGAAAAAAAAUCCUAAAAUUUAUACGGAACUACAAAAGACCUCAAAUAGCCAAAGUAAGCCUGAGUAAAAAGAACGAAGCUGGAGGCAUCACAUUUCCUGACUUCAAAAUACACUACGAACUGGCCACGGUGGUACACACCUAUAGCCCCAGCUAUUCAGGAGGCUGAAGCAGGAGGAUCCCAUGAGCCCAAGGAGACUGAGGCUGCAGUGACCUAUGAUCAUACCACUGCACUCCAGCCUGGACACCAGAGAAAAAUCCUGUCUCUAAAAUAAAACAAAAAAACAAAAUGUAGUACAAAGCUAUAGUAACCAAAUCAGCAUAGUACUGGCAUAAAAAGAGACACAAAGACCAAUGGAACAGAAUAGAUAACCUAGAUAUAAAUCCAUGCAUUUACAGAGAACUCAUUUUUGACAAAGGCUCCAGGAACACACAAUGGGGAAAGAACAGUCCUUUCAAUAAAUGGUUCUGGGAAAACUAAAUAACCACAUGCAGAUGAAUGAAACUAGACCCCUAUCUCUCACCAUAUAAAAAAAUCAAAUAAAAAUGGAUUAAACAUUUAAAUGUAAGACCUGAAACUAUGAAACUACUAGAAGAAAACAUUGGAGAAAUAUUCCAGGACAUUGGUCUGGGCAAAGAGAUUUUUUGUGGAAGACCUCAAAAGCAUAGGCAACCAAACCAAAAAUAGAAAAAUGGGAUUAUGUCAAGCUAAAAAGCUUCAGGACAGCCAUGGAAACAAUCAACAAAGUGAAGAGACAACCCACAGAAUAGGAGAAAAUAUUUGCAAAGUAUCAAUCUGACGAGGGAUUAAUAACCAGAAUAUAUAAGGAGCUCAAACAACUCUGUAACAAAAAACCAAAUAAUCCAGUUUAAAAAUGGGCAAAAGAUCUGAAUAGAUAUUUCUCAAAAGAAGACAUACAAAUGGUCAACAGAGAUAUGAAAAAAUGCUCAAUGUCACUAAUCAUCAGAGAAAAGCAAAUCAAAAUUAAAUGAGAUAUCAUUUCAUCCCAGUUAAAAUGGCUUUUUACAAAAAAAAUAGAGAACAUCUUUUUUUUUUUUUUUUUUUUGAGAUAGAGUUUCACUCCUGUCACCCAGGCUGAAGUGCAAUGGUGCAAUCUUGACUCACUGCAACCUCCAUCUCCAGGUUCAAGCGAUUCUCCUGCCUCAGCCUCCUGAGUAGCUGGGAUUACAGGCGCCCACCACCAUGCCCGGCUGAUUUUUGUAUUUUUAGUAGAGAUGGGGUCUCACCAUGUUGGCCAGGCUGGUCUCAAACUCCCAACCUCAGGUGAUCCACCAGCCUCGGCCUCCCAAAGUGCUGGGAUUACAGGCAUGAGCCACUGCGCCUGGCCAAGAAUAUCUUUUCUGUAAAAAGAUGCUGGAGAAGACGUGGAGAAAGGGGAACCCUGAUAAACUGUUAGUGGGAAUAUAAAUUAGUACAGCUACUAUGGAAAACUGUAUGAAGGUUCCUCAAAAAACUAAAAAUAGAACUAUCAUAUGAUCUAGAAGUUCCACUGCUGGGUAUAUAUCUAAAAGAAAGUAAACCAAUAUAUUGAAGAGAUAUCUGCCUUCCCAUGUUUACUGCAGAGAUAUUCAUAAUGGCCAAAAUAUGAAAUCAACCUAAGUGCCCAGAAGUGGAUAAAUAGAUUAAGAAAAUGUGAUAUAUAUAAUAUUAUUCAGCCAUAAAAAGAAUGAAAUCUUGUCAUUUGCAACAACAUAGAUGGCACCAUAGGUCAUUUUGUUAAGUGAAUAAGCCAAACACAGAAAAACAACUAUCGCAUGUUCUCACUUACAUGUGGGAGCUAAAAAAGUGGAUCACAUGAAGAUAGAGAGUAUAUUAGUGGUACCAGAGGCCAGGAAGUGUGGGGGGAGGACAAAGAGAGGUUGAUGAAUGGGUAUAAACAUACAGUUUGACAGGAAAAAUAAGACCUAGGAUUCAAUAGAUCAGUAGGGUGGCUACAGUUUACAAUAAUCUAUUGUAUAUUUCAAAAUAGAAGAGAAUAAUUUGAAUGUUUCUAGCAUAAAGAAAUAUUUGAGGUAAAGGAUACCUAAUGACAUGAUUUGAUUUUUAUAAAAUAUAUGAAUGUAUUAAAUUAUCACAUGUACCCUGAAAAUAUGUACAUCUGUUAUAUAUCAAAAGAAUUUUUUAAUUUCAUGAAUGUAUUUAAUGCCACUGAAUUGUACGCUUAAAAUAGUUAAAAUGGGAAGUUUCAUGUUACACACACAUAUAUACAUAUUAUUUAAAAUAGUAAAGACGCUUGUGUUUUAAGCCUCUAAAAUAGUGAUGAACACAAGGGAGGAAACAGAAGGGGAAGACAGAGGAGAGGGGUAUGGAAGGAGAAUAGGGAAGUACAGAGUUGCUAAAGGGAAUGGAAUAUGGGUGAAGAAGAAAAACCUUUAAAAGGGAUUUUUAGAAAGAUUUGCUGUGUAGUAUAGAUAUAAGCCACUUCCUCUGAAAUCUUGAGCAAAUUCCAUAUUAUUCACCAAUUACUUUGGUGCUUGAGUUGCAGUUUUAGUUUUAAGUGCUGACGUGGAUGAGAAUGGCCUUGAGGCAUCCGGAUAUAUUUGGGUCACACUAAUCUAAGCAGGAAUUUGUGUCACUGUGGCUUUUCUCCAUUUGCCCCUCUCCUGACCCCCUUGUCUUCUCAUGCCCCUGAGGACACUCUGGGCCCUGAGAUGUCCUCCACCCCCAUCCUGCCCCUCACCUCCACGCAGCAGUGUGCAUCCAGCGGGAUAAUGCCCCUUUUCUCUUUGCACUCUUCACUCCCAAAGUAGCAGAGGCAGCUGGGCUGCAGCUGGAACCAGCGUUCGGCCCAGUUCCUUCUCAGGUGCCCUCGCUUCCACAGGUAGCCCUGCCAGCCGGAGUUACGUCAGAGGCUUCCCAGGCCCCCCUUCGCCCUGCACCUUGUGUGCUUCCCCUAGUUCCCAGCUUGCCUGACCUGCUUCAGGACAUCUUGGAUGAGCUCCUGGUAGACCUCGUGGAUGGCCAUGCUGAGGGUGUCCCGGCCCACGCCCCGCAGAAGCUCCUCCAGCUCACCCAAGCUCACCUCCAAGCUCAUGCUGCUGAGUACCUUUUUCAGCAGGUAUUCCACCUGGAGCAGGAGAAGGAAGGCCUGGUAGCUGCAGCAGGUGGUGUUGCCAGCACCAACACCAGGGAGUGCUCUAUCUGGCUCCCAGAGCCUGGGCAGAGGGAAACAGGGGACAGAGCGUUGAGGGGGCCAGAGGACCGAAUGUUAUGGAGCCAGGGAAAAGACCUGGGAGAGGAUCCUGGAGCCCCAACCCCAACUCAGGUUUUCUCUCCCCGUCCACAACCUCCAGUCCCACUCCUUCCUGUCUUAAGGGCAAGGUGAAGGGGACCUGAGAUCUGGGGUCCAGAAAGAGGCAAUAAAUCACAGAAAGUGUCAAGGGAGUGCAAAGGCCCUCUCAUCCAAUCACUCAUUUUGCAGAUGACCAAAAAAAAGCCCAAAGGGGGAAGUGACUGGCUCUAAGUCACACAGCAAACUGGGGGCAGCCAGAACCCGAUUCUGAUCUCCUGAAUCCCAUUCAGGUCCUUAUUCCAAGCCCCAAUCCCCAACCCUGGGGAUCUUUCCCUUGUGGGAGAGGAAGGGGAUUUGGGGUAGGGGUAGGCGUUGGGGAGUGGGGAGUAGAGGUAAGCUGGGCAGGGACAGGAAACCUGUUACAGAGGAACCGGAAGUGGUGGCUGGGGUACAUCCUGCUGCAGUUGUUAACUCUGUAUGUUGAUCGCAGAAGCAAACAACCUCCUGGCCUCCGAGGCCACCUUGCCCUGACUGGCAGGGGUCUAACAAGGGCAGCCAGCCAAGUGUAUGUGCAGAUGGACACAUGUCCCUCACCUGCCCCAGCAGCUUUUUGGGACACUCUGUUUAGGACUUUCUGGGGGAUCCUGGGUCUUGUUUGGGUGUUUAGUAGAGGGCACUGGUUCAGGGCUCGGGUGGUUCCCUUCAUCACCCUUCCCACAAACAGAAGCCAGGACAAAUGUGAGUGGAGCUUGACAUGCUAGGGCUUCUUGUAAGUACAGAAGCCCCCUCUCCUGUAAACCCCACUCUAAAGACCUAAAGUCACCCUGGCAUCUCCACAGCCACCAAGAGGACUAAAGGGUCACAAGGCCAAAUGGGCAGGGGAGGGAAGUGAGGAUAAGAGGGAGGGUACAGGUGGAUGGGAAAAUGCCUUCCCUGGCUUCACCCAGGAGUAAGGAGAUAGGGACCAGAUUCCCAGCCUUUUCUCCCAGGAUGCCCUAUCCCUGGGUCUCUUAGCUGAGUUUGUCCUGGCUUUCCAGAAGAAAGGCAGAAAGGGAAAAUCUGGAACCAGAGUAACCUCCUGUCUCAGAAAGGUCUCCCCUUGCCUUGUAAAGCAUCCUUCCUGUCCUGGAAGAAGUGGCAAAAGGUAAAGGAAAAAAAAGCACCCUUCCUAGAUUGCCAGUAAUGCUCAGUAAUGUAUCUGGCAUUUAGACCUCUGUGUAAACAGAAUUUGCAGAUCAUUUUCCUACAGUGAGGACCAGCAGAACCCUCAUGAAAGUGUAAUUUCAGUUUUCCUGGAAGAAGGCAAAAUUACUCUGACACAGGCAGUUCUAGGCAUCUGGAGACAGCUGGGUGAGGACAGAUACCAGCAUGGGAAGAUGGUAAAGAAAGAAAGGGGAUAUGGGAAGGCACCAAAGGUGGUUUGGUCUCAUUCAUGGUUUUGCUUAGGUCUGGUCCCAAGUGAUUCAGUCCCUGGGGCUGCCAUCACCCUCACCUCAUCAGGAACCAUGAUCAGAGGGUACUUGUCCUCAGACAGGAAGUUGAAGAGGCACCAGAGGCGGAAGGCAUCCUGAUUGGAGAGCAUACUGUUCCCGUUGCUAUCUGCCCGAUAGUUCUUCUUGGCCGUCAGCGUCCAGCACAGCUCAUCAAAGUGCUCUUUAACAAAAGCCCCCUCCUCCACCUGCCACCAGGGCUGCAAAUCAGCUGACUGCAUAUCUCAGCUCUACCACGACACUAGGCUCCAGCUGGGUUUCUUGGGUUCAUCUAUGCCCCUGCUCCCCACCUGGCCAAGUCCAGGGCCCUAACUCAAGGGAUCCCUGAGCUGAUUACCAGGUAACUAGCUGGUUCCAACCACUCCACCCUCCACAACACACCCACACCCACCCAGGCCCCCUGACAACAGAUUAACUCUAGUCUUUCAGCCCAGAGGACAAAGAAGGAGAAACCCAGCAGGAAGCUAAGAGCCAAGAACCUGGAAACACAGUGACAGAUUGGAGGAGUUGGAGGGGGAGUUCAGGGGGACAGUCUGGGAAGGGUGGAGAACCCUGGAAGCUGGAGGAGGGCCGGGCAGGGAUUCGGUGGAAGGUUAUGGGUAGGGUGGGGCCCACCUCAUUAGAGAUGAGGGACAUUGAAGGUGAAUUGAGGGGGACAGGAAGGGGGCAGGUGGCUGGGAUGUGAGGGACGUGAUGGGACAGCAGUCACGGACAGAGCAGGCAGAAGUAGGAGUUUAUGGCAGGGGCGAAGAGUUGGAGUGGCAAGGUAUUAGGCUGCUGGCCAGGCUGGAAAAGUGGGGAGAGGUUACAGAUGCUCCCUACAAGCUGGGCCCCACCUUGUCCAGGAUGUACUUGUUGAGGUAGGGCAUGUAUCCCUGGCUGGACACAGGGCCGUCA
This 7843-nucleotide long non-coding RNA is filed under the name Homo sapiens (human). Its description in RNAcentral is "HSALNT0105459". The record is from RNAcentral. Lineage: Eukaryota; Metazoa; Chordata; Mammalia; Primates; Hominidae.